AUAUUACUAGACCGAAAGCUGCGUGCGCGUUCAGCACAAAACAAAUGAGAUUAGGCUCCGCCUACCGCGAUCAUUUGAAGACAAAAAUAAGCCCUCAUUGACAUUCAUGAGCAUGAAGAUAUUCAUAAUCCGGCCUUUUCAUUGGCUAAGAGCGUCAUUAAUACGCGAUUUCCCCGAUUCUUUGUCAUCGAUACUAGUGGUAUCGUGUUACAGAAUUAAUUAUUCAUUUGACCUCAUUACGUCAUCUAAUUUAUUCAUUAUGAAACUUUUCUUUCCACACAAAAAUGGACCUACAAACACUCCGGUUGAGUUUGAAGAACAAGAAAAACAGUAGAGGUCUACCCAGUACCUAUGGUUAAACAUGAUGAUCAUAAGUGCAUGUAUCAUUUUGCAGAUUCUCAUCCAGAUGAUGCAGCUCUACAACUUCCAUGGAGGUGAUUGAUGAUGAUAAACAAUUGGUGAAGUAGGCCUAAUAGAACAGUGAUAGGACCACAAAGAGAAAUACAACCUACAGCAGUUAUAUGAGACUGGUGUAACAGAUGUUUUCAUUCAAGAAACCCAACAAAUUGAAAAGUGACUUAGCUUAGGAAGCACUUGAUAAAGAUGGAAAAGGUUUUUUUUUUUCAAGUCCAAUUUUUUUUUUUUUAAUUAUCAUCACAACCCCAAAUUCAUGAAGUAUGAAAUUUCCUGUCGAUUUUCAUUAAAACUGGUUGCAAAAGGAAAAGCUAUAAACAUACAAAUAGGAGCGGCGAAGUGAAGUUGAAAGUGGGGGGGGGGGGCACAGGGAAAAUGCUGUAUUAUGUGAAAUUUUAAAGAAGUUGCGAGAGAGCAAAAUUUUGACAUUUUAAAAAAGAAAAUCCAAUUUUGUGAUAGAUUUCGACAAAAUAUUCAGAAUGAUAUAUUUCACCCUUUUUUUUUGGGGGGGGGGCAAGAUUCCUUCAAGCCCCCCCCCCCUCCAUCUGUAGUGUACGAAACUGCUUAUCUACCCCCACUCACAUGAAUUAUUAAACUUAAUGCACAAAGGAUUUCCUUAUUGUUUUCUUGUUUCAAAGGGCACUCGUCAUUCUUUAGGAGCACUUUUCUUGGGUAAAAGGGGGCAGUUAUUCGAGAAAGGGCACUUACAAGAAGGCGAGGGGGUACUUUUUAACACUUAAAACGGGCCCUCAGAUGAAAGGGCACAGAACACGUUCGGGGGGCAUUUUUUGGUAAAAAUUUGCACACAAGGAAGAGCACUUGGUAACACCUAAAACAGGUUCUCGUCAGGUUAAAGGGACACAGUUCACGUUCGUGAGGGGGCAUUUUUCUUACAUAAAAUUAAAGGCACUUUUCAGUGCUUCAAAAAGUAGGGGGAACUGUGCCACCCAGGAUCGCUGCCCCUGCAUACAAAAAACAUUUUUGUUCGAUUCAAAGUAUUAACAUACGCUUAAGAAAAAAAGUAAGGCUAAAUCCUCUGAUAAUGUGAUAUUUUUUUCUGGCUAUUAAUAAAAUUCACAACUAACC
Lytechinus pictus (painted urchin) is the source of this 1500-nucleotide long non-coding RNA. RefSeq lists it as uncharacterized. The transcript has 4 exons. NCBI's taxonomy places the organism in Eukaryota, Metazoa, Echinodermata, Echinoidea, Temnopleuroida, Toxopneustidae. The record is from RefSeq and is a predicted model, not a curated record.